UUAGUCACCAAGGUGAUGGGUCGUCUCUAAUUUACAAACUGUAACUACAGUAUUUUUCAAUAAUCACUAAUUCUGUGAAGAUUUCUGAUUUACAUUGAUAAUUGGAUUUAUCGUAACCCAAAUUAAUCUUAGAUGAACAAUGACUACCUAACCAGCCAAUAUUGAUCAACAAUUUUAGCAUUUUCAGCCUGGGAAAUGCAACUGUUCAUUAAUAUGCUUUAAUCUUAAAUCUAUAUCAAUGUGCAGCUAGCGACAACCACAUUUUUGGAUUGAAGAUGGGUUAGUGUUAUAACAACUGUUCAACUGAUUUCCUCAACAAUUGAUCUCAAAAUUAAUCAAAUGUUUGUCAAUGGAAAAGGAAGCAAAAUUGUGAUGAAUGACACCUGAACAUGGCAAAGGAACUGGAGUUUGGAUUGACAAAGAAAAAUCAAAUCAAGAAAUGAUAAACUGUUUAUUAGAUCCAAUAAUUGUGUUUGCUAAUAAAGCCAACUUGACGAGGUGUUAAUGAAGAUGACAAUGGACAGCAAAAAAGAUUCAUCAUUCCAGAGAGUUGACUGUUUUCUCUAUUCUCUGAUAAAUGAACAAUUUUACAAUUAUAUUUGAAAUUAUGGGAAUCAUAAUAUUGUAGUGAUUAAUGUGUAUUAAUAGGCUAAGCAGAUUAACUUGGUUUGGAUCACAAUUUGAACCUCUUAUCAACACUAAUUCAUACUGACAACAGGCAAAAUAACAACAAGCAUUCUGGUGAAAUUUGAUUGCAAAGCAAUUUGAAUCAACUUGAUUCCUGUGAAUAUUAACACCAUUUAUUGUGUCUAUUAUUUGCUUGCAAUGACUAUAGCUAAUACAGAAAUGGUUACAAUAAAGUAACAGCAAUCUCAGUGA
Molecule: long non-coding RNA, 879 nt
Organism: Tetranychus urticae (two-spotted spider mite)
Lineage: Eukaryota; Metazoa; Arthropoda; Arachnida; Trombidiformes; Tetranychidae
Source: RefSeq, a predicted model, not a curated record